Long non-coding RNA from Brachypodium distachyon (stiff brome), 3365 nucleotides. RefSeq lists it as uncharacterized. NCBI's taxonomy places the organism in Eukaryota, Viridiplantae, Streptophyta, Magnoliopsida, Poales, Poaceae. The record is from RefSeq and is a predicted model, not a curated record. The transcript has 5 exons.
CAGGCCCAGCCCAGCCCAGCCCAGCCCACUCGUUCCGUCCUUGGUCACGUCGGUCGUCGCCCCCUCGCCCUUCCUCCUCGUUCCUCACCCAGUCAGCCACCCCCGACCCAAGUCCCUAACCCUAGCCGCCGCCCGCCGGAGCGCCGCACCAGUCACCGGAGUUCCUCCACCGCGCGCCGACACCACUCCGCCAGCGACCUCUCCUUCCCAUCACCCGACGCGGCGACGCUUCCAUCUCGCCACCGCGCGCCGACGGAAUAUAGCAUGGAGAUCAGACCCAUGGUAGCUCUGCGUGCUGCCCUAGUUGGCGGGGUGGCAGCAUUUGCGAAGAUCGCUGGUGCAAUGAAAGCUGCCGGAAGCAUGAAGGUUGGUGCAGCCGCUGCAGCUAUGACAGCUGCAGCAACGGCUGCCGUAUCCGGAAAAGACACAAAUAAAGAGAACCAAAAGCCUGGAGCACAAUGAUGUAUGCCAUGAAUUUACUGGAGAAGCACAGUGCGUAGAGCCGUAGAUGCAUCUCCAGAGUGUAGAUUUACUUUCAGCAAUUUAUCAAGUGCUGAAGAGUUGCAGAAGCUAAUUGUGGCUUUCGAGAGGACACCGCAAUCAUAAUAAAUAAGUCGUUUGAGCAAUUUGUCAUGAUACAUGUGCUUUAGCUUGAAUAAGAAUUACAUUGUCGUGAGUUUUCACUCUACUGAUAAUUUGUUCCCUUGCAAUGGUCGCUGUUGCUGAAUGUGAUGAUGAUUCAAUGAGGGCUUUAUUGUGUCCACCCUCCAUGCUAUAACCUGAUUCCUGUUGCCAGAAUCCUAAUGGUUUGGAUCACUUUAUAUUUAACUGAAUAUGUUGGUAGCAGAACUCUGCUGAACCUUAAUGUUUACCAACAAUUUUUUAGGGGGCAAUGCAGCUUUAACCUUUGUAUGAGAAAAUAAUUACAUGAUCAGGUAAUAUGCUUGGUUUACUCCCCAACUGUGUUGUUGGAGAUGAGAUCACUAUUCCACGUCUGGUUUCUUCUGUCGUAUAAAUUUUCACACUAAUUGUACUAGGUCCUCUAUUAUUUUUAAGGUUUGUUGUGUUUGUGUCAGCUGGCUUCAGCAAGUUUGUACUGUUACAGAAAUCAUGUGCAUAUUUCAAUUUGAAGGUUUUAUAUCUCAAGCCUGGAACCAGCAAAGUUUAUGUUCAUUUUAGAAAACUGGGUCACGAGCACAGCCAAGUUGACUCUGCAAAGCUUGAAUUCUAAAGAAUCUUCUGUAAAUGUAAACUUAAUUAUUUAACCUCUGUACUCCUGGUGUAAAUGGUAGUUUACCCAUGGAACACUGUUUUGGAUGUUACAUGUACAUGAUUCUGCAUAUCGUCUGAAUGCACUGUACUUUCUGGACUUUGUUGCUUAAGGAGAUCCCUUUAUAAAUUUUACUUAUGUUUAUCAUUUAUGCAUGCAGGGGUAUGGGUUCUGUCCUAGGAAUUUUCAUGGCAGUGGUAUCACUGGUAUUAUAUGUUCUUUUCGAGCCAACGGCGGUGGGGAAUAUCCAUGGAACUGGGACAGAAAUCUCCAUUUAUAUAUGCUUAUUUCGAAGCCAACAUAGUUAAUAAGCUAAGCAUUUUACCUUUAUACUCAAGGUACUAGUAUCUUACCUUGAGUAGAUUGGCACAUAAGGAUUGAGGGUAGGCAAGAAGGCACCAUGCCCUCCGGGAGAGCAUGGCAAAAUUGAAAACAUGCAAGUAUAUGAAGCCUAGCUAUUCCAUAUAUAUGUUUUGAUCUAGUCAUCCUUUCCCAACCUACGCAAUAUUAGCACUGUUAUCCUGUUGGAUCCACCAGUAUUUUGCAAUCAUGGCACUAAUCUAAGCUGGUCACAAAGUGUCUUAGUCAGAUCAAAGCAUGACUUGGAAUAUGCAGAGAUUGCUGGGCGACGGCUUUGAUAAGAAUCUGCUUGCCAGCUUUCUACUAUCGUGUCUAUGUUUAUAGCUUGGGAUAGACUUGUUUUGAUAGUCUGCGAUGUGUAAUAUUCAAACCAUCUUUAAGAAAUCUUCCCAUUUUGAGCCAUGCACUUUGUACUGAUCAAUCGCUUUGAACCUGCAUGUUUACUAUGACACUUGUUGAUAGAAUUGAUGUUACAACAGGUGGAAUUCACACAAUAAUGUAACAACUGUGAUCUUACUGUAGAGUGCACGCUGUCAGCAGCAUGAAGUAACAACUGAGAAAUUUCACUUAUGCUGUUACAAGUCAUAAUGCUUACCACUUUUUUUCCUUCAGAAAUAAUGCUGAUGACGUUGAGAUCAACAAUCACCUUCCGGAGGAUGUACUCCUACCUAGAGUGUUUCUGCAACUCCAGGUAAUGAGGAAAUAGCCGUAGCAAAGGAUAAGCUGGAUUCCGGCUGCGAAGAAGGCAAUUGGCUCCAUGACACUCCAAUCGAACUCCCAGAACGUAAGGCGGAAGAAGAUGACGAAUUGGAAGAUGAAGUACGCCAAGCUGAAACAUAGAACCCUUUUGGCAUGCUUCUGUGCCAGGCCGUCAAUCUCUUGCAUCUUCUCCUGGAGUUGCUUGAACUCUUCUUUUCUCGCGUCGUUCUCUGGCGCGAGCGCAAAUGGCACAGCCCUUCUAAUCAGGCCCACAACCUAGAAAUGGAUCAGCUGGAGAAUUGGAUGCACUGUAUGACUACUACAAUAUUGGUCAGAAAAUUAUACAUGGGCCUUGCCCCGGACAAGCAGAGCCAACCUGUUCUCCUCCAUCCCCCGGAUGAGCGCCUCCGCCUCCGUGCGCACGAGGCCACUCUCCAGCAAUGCGCCGAGGAGCUUGUCGUCAUAGCCGACCACCUGAUCAUCCUGCCCGUCCCUGAGCUGCCGCUCGAUUUCUUCAAAGAUGGCCUUGGUAGCAGCUGUUGAUAUAAAAAUUUGCUGUUAAAGGGGCAAAGCCAAACGCCAGAGAGGAUCGUAUGAACUGUCAACAUCAAGUAACAACUGAUCAUGAAGCUUAUAUUCGACCUCGAGAAUGGUCACCUCCAAGAGGACACCUCAAUUGCCUCUCCAUCUCCAGGUCGCUGGAGGUAACAAGGAAAUAGGCGUAGUCGGCGAGGAGGAAAGAGCUGGCGGCGAAGAAGGUGAUUGGCCCCAUCACAGUCCAAUCAAAGUCCCAGAAGGUGAACCGGAAGCACAUCUCGACCUGGGUCAUCAGCAGCCCGUAGCCUGACCACAGGAUCGCCCUCACCUGCUUCUGCGCCUUGCUGUCGAUAUCUUCCUUCUGUUUCUUGAGCUGCCUGAAUUCUUGCCUUUUGAUGUCGUUCGCUGCUUCGUGUACAUGCGGCACAGCACUUGUUACCAGGUCCACGACCUAACGUCAACGGUAAUUAGAUUCAUUGCGAAAUAUUUAUUUCCCUAA